GCCGGGUGCGGUGGCACGUGCCUGUAGUCCCAGCUACUUGGGAGGUUAAGGUGAGAGGAUCACUUGAGGCCAGGAAUUCUGGGCUGUAGUGCACUAUGCCGAUCGGGUGUCCACACUAAGUUCAGCGUCAGUAUGGUGACCUCCCAGGGGCGAGGGACCACCAGGUUGCCUAAGGAGGGGUGAAUCGGCACAGGUUGGAAAUGGAGCAGGUCAAAACUCCUGGGCUGAUCAGUAGUGGGACUGCGCCUGUGACUAGCCACUGCACUCCAUCCUGGGCAACAUAGCGAGACGCAUCUCAA
Molecule: unclassified non-coding RNA, 299 nt
Organism: Callithrix jacchus (white-tufted-ear marmoset)
Lineage: Eukaryota; Metazoa; Chordata; Mammalia; Primates; Cebidae
Rfam family: Metazoan signal recognition particle RNA
About the family: The signal recognition particle (SRP) is a universally conserved ribonucleoprotein. It is involved in the co-translational targeting of proteins to membranes. The eukaryotic SRP consists of a 300-nucleotide 7S RNA and six proteins: SRPs 72, 68, 54, 19, 14, and 9.
Source: Ensembl